GACGAACGCUGGCGGCGUGCUUAACACAUGCAAGUCGAACGGGCCUUGUCCCCUUUUUUUUUGGGGGUGGGGUUAGUGGCGAACGGGUGAGUAACACGUGAGUAACCUGCCCCUCACUUCUGGAUAACCGCUUGAAAGGGUGGCUAAUACGGGGUGUUCUGGCCUGCGCGCAUGGGUGGGUUGGGUAAGAUUCGACCGGUGUUGGUGGCUAUGGUGGGGGAUGGGCUCGCGGCCUAUCAGCGUGUGGGCGGGGGGAUGGCCUGCCAAGGACUUGACGGGUAGCCGGCCUGGGAGGGGGGGCGGUCACGGUGGGAGUGGAAGACGGCCCAGACUCGUACGGGGGCCCGCAGUGGAGACUAUUGCGCAGUGGGCGCGGGCCUGAUGCGGCGACGCGGCGUGGGGGAUGGAGGCCUUGGGGUGGGAAACCUCUUUGCCCAGGGGUGAAGGUCCUGCUCUUUGUGGUGGGAUUAAGGGUGGAUCGGUUAAAGAAGCGCCGGCUAACUCCGUG
This 508-nucleotide ribosomal RNA is filed under the name uncultured bacterium. Its description in RNAcentral is "partial 16S ribosomal RNA". It matches the Rfam family "Bacterial small subunit ribosomal RNA", at positions 28 to 507 of the family's 1533-position model. The record is from RNAcentral.